Molecule: ribosomal RNA, 496 nt
Filed under: uncultured bacterium
Lineage: Bacteria
Description: partial 16S ribosomal RNA
Rfam family: Bacterial small subunit ribosomal RNA
Source: RNAcentral
GAUGAACGCUGGCGGCGUGCCUAAUACAUGCAAGUCGAGCGAACGGACGAGAAGCUUGCUUCUCUGAUGUUAGCGGCGGACGGGUGAGUAACACGUGGAUAACCUACCUAUAAGACUGGGAUAACUUCGGGAAACCGGAGCUAAUACCGGAUAAUAUUUUGAACCGCAUGGUUCAAAAGUGAAAGACGGUCUUGCUGUCACUUAUAGAUGGAUCCGCGCUGCAUUAGCUAGUUGGUAAGGUAACGGCUUACCAAGGCAACGAUGCAUAGCCGACCUGAGAGGGGAAUCGCCACCACUGAACUUGGAACACGUCCCAGACUCCAACGGGAGGAGGCGGUGGGAAUCUUCCGCAAUGGGCGAAAGCCUGACGGAGCAACGCCGCGUGAGUGAUGAAGGUCUUCGGAUCGUAAAACUCUGUUAUUAGGGAAGAACAUAUGUGUAAGUAACUGUGCACAUCUUGACGGUACCUAAUCAGAAAGCCACGGCUAACUACGUG